This 231-nucleotide ribosomal RNA is filed under the name Tricispora nevadensis. Its description in RNAcentral is "Entrophospora nevadensis partial small subunit ribosomal RNA". It matches the Rfam family "Eukaryotic small subunit ribosomal RNA", at positions 569 to 864 of the family's 1831-position model. Lineage: Eukaryota; Fungi; Glomeromycota; Glomeromycetes; Diversisporales; Diversisporaceae. The record is from RNAcentral.
AGCACCCGCGGUAAUUCCAGCUCCAAUAGCGUAUAUUAAAGUUGUUGCAGUUAAAAAGCUCGUAGUUGGAUUUCUAGGGAGAGGCUUCAACCAAUCCCUACUAGUCCCAUCCGGGACAGUUACUUUGAAAAAAUUAGAGUGUUUAAAGCAGGCUAACGUCUGAAUACAUUAGCAUGGAAUAAUGAGAUAGGACGGAUUGAUUCUAUUUCGUUGGUUUCUAGGAUCACCGUA